RNAcentral lists this non-coding RNA (168 nucleotides) under Clostridium cochlearium. RNAcentral describes it as "Lysine riboswitch". It matches the Rfam family "Lysine riboswitch aptamer". From Rfam's summary of the family: Riboswitches are metabolite binding domains within certain messenger RNAs that serve as precision sensors for their corresponding targets. Allosteric rearrangement of mRNA structure is mediated by ligand binding, and this results in modulation of gene expression. This family includes riboswitches that sense lysine in a number of genes involved in lysine metabolism, including lysC. Lineage: Bacteria; Bacillati; Bacillota; Clostridia; Eubacteriales; Clostridiaceae. The record is from RNAcentral.
AGGGUAGAGGCGCGGUAUUUAAGAGUACCUGUAACAGAUAUAAGCAAGAUGAUGUGCAGUGAAAGGAAAUAUCGCCGAAGCAUACAGUUAAAGCUUUAAUACUGUAUGACUGGUCUUAUUUAGAAUAUGAAUAAGAUUGUCACAAAGUAAAUUUGUGGAGGGCUAUCA